Molecule: ribosomal RNA, 618 nt
Filed under: uncultured bacterium
Lineage: Bacteria
Description: bacterial SSU rRNA
Rfam family: Bacterial small subunit ribosomal RNA
Source: RNAcentral
UACUCCUACGGGAGGCAGCAGUGGGGAAUUUUGGACAAUGGGCGAAAGCCUGAUCCAGCCAUGCCGCGUGCAGGAUGAAGGCCUUCGGGUUGUAAACUGCUUUUGUACGGAACGAAAAGACUCUUUCUAAUAAAGAGGGUCCAUGACGGUACCGUAAGAAUAAGCACCGGCUAACUACGUGCCAGCAGCCGCGGUAAUACGUAGGGUGCAAGCGUUAAUCGGAAUUACUGGGCGUAAAGCGUGCGCAGGCGGUUAUGUAAGACAGAUGUGAAAUCCCCGGGCUCAACCUGGGAACUGCAUUUGUGACUGCAUAGCUAGAGUACGGUAGAGGGGGAUGGAAUUCCGCGUGUAGCAGUGAAAUGCGUAGAUAUGCGGAGGAACACCGAUGGCGAAGGCAAUCCCCUGGACCUGUACUGACGCUCAUGCACGAAAGCGUGGGGAGCAAACAGGAUUAGAUACCCUGGUAGUCCACGCCCUAAACGAUGUCAACUAGUUGUUGGGUCUUCACUGACUCAGUAACGAAGCCAACGCGUGAAGUUGACCGCCUGGGGAGUACGGCCGCAAGGUUGAAACUCUAAGGAAUUGACGGGGACCCGCACAAGCGGUGGAGCAUGUGGA